Molecule: transfer RNA, 72 nt
Filed under: Gefionella okellyi
Lineage: Eukaryota; Malawimonada; Malawimonadea; Malawimonadida; Malawimonadidae
Description: tRNA-Glu
Rfam family: tRNA
About the family: Transfer RNA (tRNA) molecules are approximately 80 nucleotides in length. Their secondary structure includes four short double-helical elements and three loops (D, anti-codon, and T loops).
Source: RNAcentral
GCUUAUAUCAUCUAAUGGUUAGGAUAUUGCUUUUUCAUAGCAAGAACACGAGUUCAAUCCUCGUUAUAAGUA